This 441-nucleotide ribosomal RNA is filed under the name uncultured bacterium. RNAcentral's name for it is "partial 16S ribosomal RNA". It matches the Rfam family "Bacterial small subunit ribosomal RNA", at positions 338 to 795 of the family's 1533-position model. The record is from RNAcentral.
CCUACGGGAGGCAGCAGUGGGGAAUAUUGCACAAUGGGGGAAACCCUGAUGCAGCAACGCCGCGUGGGUGAAGGAGCGUUUCGGCGCGUAAAGCCCUGUCAGCGGGGAAGAAGAAAGACGGUACCCGACCAAGAAGCCCCGGCUAACUACGUGCCAGCAGCCGCGGUAAUACGUAGGGGGCGAGCGUUAUCCGGAAUUACUGGGUGUAAAGGGAGCGUAGACGGCGAUGCAAGCCAGGAGUGAAAGCCCGGGGCCCAACCCCGGGACUGCUCUUGGAACUGCGUGGCUAGAGUGCAGGAGGGGCAGGCGGAAUUCCUGGUGUAGCGGUGAAAUGCGUAGAUAUCAGGAGGAACACCGGUGGCGAAGGCGGCCUGCUGGACUGCAACUGACGUUGAGGCCCGAAAGCGUGGGGAGCAAACAGGAUUAGAUACCCCAGUAGUC